UUCUAUGGCCAUAUCACCAUGAACACACCUGAUUGUGUCUGAUCUUGGAAGCUAAGCGGAGCCAGACCUGUUUAGUACUUGGAUGGAAAGGAAAAGAAAAAAAGAAAGAAA
Molecule: ribosomal RNA, 111 nt
Filed under: Carlito syrichta (Philippine tarsier)
Lineage: Eukaryota; Metazoa; Chordata; Mammalia; Primates; Tarsiidae
Source: RNAcentral